UAAUAAGAUUCUUAGGGUCAUUUGGUGACAUGUUUUUCUAUCUUUUUGAAAAUAGAUACUGUGACUGUUUUCAAACAAAACAAAAAACAAAACAAAAAACAAACAAAAAAGAAAGAAACAACAACAAACCCCCAAAACACCUUUUAGAUAUCGAUCUUAAGGUAGAGACCGAUAGCAACCACGUGAUCAGUAAAAAUCGUGUAUUUUCACGUGAAAUUAUUUUUCGGAAUUCCGUACAUCGCCAUAGAGUAGUUGAAAAACAAAAAGGGGUUCCGAAAGUACAAGUUGCUGUGACUGAAUCGAUGAUUGAGAGGGUCGUCUCGACGAAAGAUAUAGAAAUUUGGCCAUAGUUUAGAUUAGGAAUACGUCAAUGUAAUAAUAGUGGACUACAUGUUUCGUCCGUGCAGAAUGGCACUUUUUACCUCACGAAAUUCACCACCAUGCAUAGCUGCGCUACGUAAACAAAGUUGUUGAUGUAGCGUGAUCGUGGUGUCCGAGUGCUGCGAGUUUCAAUACUGUUUAUGUAGUCAUUGAGAGUUUAAACAAAGUUUCUUCUGAGAAGAGGAAUUCGAUGGAUGCAUUCAACGUGGACAACGAAAUCAUAAUUUCGUUUGCAUCAUCCUAAGGACCAGUGCAAGUUGAAAUGGGCUUCCAGCCAACAACUUCAACAGCAAUUUGCCAUGAAAAUCAGCAAGAAAGGUACUUCAUUUACAUUGAUGAUGUCAUAUCCCCUGGACCCCACAACUUCACAGAUUACAGAGAAAAUUCAAGAACUUCUGCAAAAUGUGGGACUUGGAUAGAAUCAAUAAUGUAUUUGUGAGCCCAGAGCAAUGGAUAUAUUGUGCAACAUACUAAAGUGUGAAUUUAAUGGAAAACAAGUACAUGUACUCAUGUAUUACAUGUCUUUUUUAAAGACAAUAAUAUUGUAUAAAUAUAGAGGAAGUGUCAUUGUUGAUUAUUCUAAGUUUUUGAUAUAUCAAAAUCAGUAAACAUUUCUAAAUGAAAAUAAAAUACCAAUUUUAUAACUUUAA
This is a long non-coding RNA of Ostrea edulis (European flat oyster), 1031 nucleotides long. RefSeq lists it as uncharacterized. The record is from RefSeq and is a predicted model, not a curated record. The transcript is spliced from 3 exons. NCBI's taxonomy places the organism in Eukaryota, Metazoa, Mollusca, Bivalvia, Ostreida, Ostreidae.